RNAcentral lists this ribosomal RNA (254 nucleotides) under uncultured bacterium. RNAcentral's name for it is "partial 16S ribosomal RNA". It matches the Rfam family "Bacterial small subunit ribosomal RNA", at positions 524 to 776 of the family's 1533-position model. The record is from RNAcentral.
UACGUAGGGCGCAAGCGUUGUCCGGAAUCAUUGGGCGUAAAGAGCUCGUAGGCGGCCUGUUGCGUCCGCUGUGAAAUCCCGGGGCUUAACCCCGGGCGUGCAGUGGAUACGGGCUGGCGUGGAGGCAGGCAGGGGAGAACGGAAUUCCCGGUGUAGCGGUGAAAUGCGCAGAUAUCGGGAGGAACACCGGUGGCGAAGGCGGUUCUCUGGGCCUGUACUGACGCUGAGGAGCGAAAGCGUGGGGAGCGAACAGG